RNAcentral lists this ribosomal RNA (117 nucleotides) under Deltaproteobacteria bacterium HGW-Deltaproteobacteria-19. Lineage: Bacteria; Deltaproteobacteria. The record is from RNAcentral.
UCCGGUGGUCAUAGCGGAGAGGAAACACCCGUUCCCAUUCCGAACACGGAAGUUAAGCUCUCUGGCGCCGAUGGUACUGCAUGGGUGACUGUGUGGGAGAGUAGGUAGCUGCCGGGA